RNAcentral lists this ribosomal RNA (490 nucleotides) under uncultured bacterium. RNAcentral describes it as "partial 16S ribosomal RNA". It matches the Rfam family "Bacterial small subunit ribosomal RNA", at positions 28 to 507 of the family's 1533-position model. The record is from RNAcentral.
GAUGAACGCUAGCUACAGGCUUAACACAUGCAAGUCGCGGGGCAGCAUGGGGGUUGCUUGCAAUCCCCGAUGGCGACCGGCGCACGGGUGAGUAACGCGUAUUCAACCUGCCCUUCACCACGGGAUAACCCGGCGAAAGUCGGACUAAUACCGUAUGUUGUCCAUUGACGGCAUCCGAUUUGGACGAAAGGCUUGGCGGUGAGGGAUGGGGAUGCGUCCGAUUAGCCAGACGGCGGGGUAACGGCCCACCGUGGCUACGAUCGGUAGGGGUUCUGAGAGGAAGGUCCCCCACACUGGAACUGAGACACGGUCCAGACUCCUACGGGAGGCAGCAGUGCGGAAUAUUGGUCAAUGGGCGUAAGCCUGAUCCAGCCAAGUAGCGUGCAGGAUGACGGCCCUAUGGGUUGUAAACUGCUUUUAUGCGGGGAUAAAGUGGCCCACGUGUGGGCUUUUGCAGGUACCGCAUGAAUAAGGACCGGCUAAUUCCGUG